UCCAAGGUCAACCAAACAAGGGCUAAAAGAAAGAGCUUUAUUGAAUGUCACCCAACAGGGGAGCAAGAGGCCUGCUCAGAUCUGUCUCCCCAGCUGGUCACAAGCAGGGUGUUCAAGGACGUUGGGAGUUGAUGGGUCUGAUGCUGUCUCGGUCUUGAUGAGAUCCAUCUUGGUUUUAGUCUGUGACUGAGGCUCCCAGCCUGUCUGUGUGCCCACCCUGUCUAAGGCCCUGGGUGUGAGACUUCUAGCUCAGCCUAGCUCAGGGUCAUCUGCAGGGCAGACUUGAAGCUGCUUCCCAGGAAAGCGUGGUCUGCCCGCAAAGAUCUUACACCACAGCCAGAUAUGAGGAAGUUAGGGCCUGAGGGGUGGCUGUGGGGUAGAGCACUUACCCAGCCCUGGGUUUGAUUCCAGGACUGAAAAAGGGAAAUAGAAACAUUACUAUUAAAAAAAAAAAAGCCCUGACAGUAGGGCAAGAUCUGAGCUCUGUUCUGACUUUCUUUCUUCUUGGUGCUGGGAACGGAACUCAGGGCCUCACGCGUGCCAGGCUCUAUUCUGGGCUACAUCUGCAGCGCUGAUUUGGGCUUUUUACAGGCAGGAGAAGUAAGGAGCUCCACAGAACCAGAGAAGUGGGAAGUUCAAGGGUUGGUGAGCAUGAAGGAGACCUCGGCUGCCGCGCCCUCCAGGGAGCCUGGGAGACGGCCUCCUCUUCUGAGGUUGCAUUCUGAGUUCCUGGUCCUUGAGAGAUGCUUCUGUGCUGGAAGAGACACCCACUCACAAUCCAGGCCCUCCAGCCAGGACUUGGGGUCAAAGGUGCCGGCAGUCAGCGCCCUCCUGGUCCAUCGUGAGGUAGAGGGAAAUAGCCCAUUACAAAUGAAUUUCUUUGGCACAUUUUGAAUUAGAAAAACAAACCUUCUGCAGACACAGAAGUGGCUUUGAAAGGCUGCCCUCUGGUAAGUUUAAAGGAAGUCUGCGUGGGGACCACAACUGCAGUGGGGGACGGAAACAGCUUCUGUAGCUUCUGCCCACUUUCAACCUGAAAGAUCUUUCCACUGGGGGAGGAGACCUGGGGCAUGCCAUGGCCCAGACACACUGCCACAGGGGCCGGUACCUGGGAGGCCUCCUCUGCCCGGCAAGACGGCGGCCUCCCUCAAGGGGUAAGAUGGCUAUCUUCUUUUC
Molecule: long non-coding RNA, 1176 nt
Filed under: Marmota monax (woodchuck)
Lineage: Eukaryota; Metazoa; Chordata; Mammalia; Rodentia; Sciuridae
Source: RNAcentral